AAUCCACGUACCCCACCUCCGUCUCCUCGUAAACUCCGUCUUUUCAAAUCCUUUCCACACCUCCAUGCUGAUAUUUUGCACCACCACCAUCACCAAUGAAAAGACCCACCACCCGCCACUGGUCUGCUCCUAAAUUUAAGCCAAGACCACCGUCCAUAAACAGUCAUUCUCCUAACGGCGUCGUCACAAAGCACAAAGACUCUUCAGAUAUGAAGAAAUCAUCAUCUUCCUCUGCUAAAAACUUUUGUUCUUGCCUUGGUAAUGCACAUUUCUUGAAAUGGAGGGCCGGUGACAUAUGUGGUUUGGUGGUGCACCACCCCGUACCCUGCGUCUUCGCUGCCUCAUUGCUGUUUUUCAUGGCGGUUGAGUACACUCUCGCAUGGUCCCGCCCACCGCGCCGCCGUUUGAUCUAGGGUUUAUUGUCACCAAAAACCUCCACCGGUCACUCGAAUCUCGACCCGCGCUCAACACGAUUCUGGCUGGCCUCAAUACGUUAUAUGUGUUUUCGUAGGAAUGCAAUCGACGUACAUACUAUCGAUGUGGCUAAUGGAGGGUCGACCGAGGGCGACGAUCUCAGCUUUGUUCAUUUUCACAUGUAUGGGAAUACUAGGAUAUGUCACACAGCUACCAUUGCCCGAGAUGCGUCACAUUAAAUUGGUUUUACAAGUGAUAAGAUUGUUGAGUACACGGGGUCAUUACACGAAUGACCUGGCUAUUGGCAUUGGUGCUGGAAUACUAUUUGAUUCUCUGGCCAGAAAGUAUGAAGAUAGCAAGAAAAGAGAAGCGCCAUUAUUCACUAGUGCUACCACCUAUGGUUCUUUCUAUGACUCUCAGAAAGAACGAAAUGGUGAGUUGU
Olea europaea var. sylvestris is the source of this 856-nucleotide long non-coding RNA. RefSeq lists it as uncharacterized. The transcript has 3 exons. The record is from RefSeq and is a predicted model, not a curated record. NCBI's taxonomy places the organism in Eukaryota, Viridiplantae, Streptophyta, Magnoliopsida, Lamiales, Oleaceae.